This 415-nucleotide ribosomal RNA is filed under the name Klebsiella variicola. Its description in RNAcentral is "bacterial SSU rRNA". It matches the Rfam family "Bacterial small subunit ribosomal RNA", at positions 602 to 1016 of the family's 1533-position model. Lineage: Bacteria; Pseudomonadati; Pseudomonadota; Gammaproteobacteria; Enterobacterales; Enterobacteriaceae. The record is from RNAcentral.
CCCGGGCUCAACCUGGGAACUGCAUUCGAAACUGGCAGGCUAGAGUCUUGUAGAGGGGGGUAGAAUUCCAGGUGUAGCGGUGAAAUGCGUAGAGAUCUGGAGGAAUACCGGUGGCGAAGGCGGCCCCCUGGACAAAGACUGACGCUCAGGUGCGAAAGCGUGGGGAGCAAACAGGAUUAGAUACCCUGGUAGUCCACGCUGUAAACGAUGUCGAUUUGGAGGUUGUGCCCUUGAGGCGUGGCUUCCGGAGCUAACGCGUUAAAUCGACCGCCUGGGGAGUACGGCCGCAAGGUUAAAACUCAAAUGAAUUGACGGGGGCCCGCACAAGCGGUGGAGCAUGUGGUUUAAUUCGAUGCAACGCGAAGAACCUUACCUGGUCUUGACAUCCACAGAACUUUCCAGAGAUGGAUUGGUG